UUUAACUGAAGAGUUUGAUCAUGGCUCAGAUUGAACGCUGGCGGCAGGCUUAACACAUGCAAGUCGAGCGGGGGAAGGUAGCUUGCUACUGGACCUAGCGGCGGACGGGUGAGUAAUGCUUAGGAAUCUGCCUA
RNAcentral lists this ribosomal RNA (134 nucleotides) under Acinetobacter baumannii. RNAcentral describes it as "partial 16S ribosomal RNA". It matches the Rfam family "Bacterial small subunit ribosomal RNA", at positions 1 to 132 of the family's 1533-position model. The record is from RNAcentral. Lineage: Bacteria; Pseudomonadati; Pseudomonadota; Gammaproteobacteria; Moraxellales; Moraxellaceae.